GGCCCAGAUUGUUUCCCAGAAGCGUCCCUCCGCCUUUCUCCUCCUGGCGCAGGCACGGCGGCGGGAGAACCGAAGGUACCCCGUAACGGGAGUCAACAGUGUGGCACAGGCAAGAGGUGUCCAUUUUACCACCUGCUGUCAACUGAAAAUGACAGUUCCCGCGCCUCAAGUCACAACCAAUCACGGCUCAGCUUGUGAACAUCACAUGACCAAACUCCGACAACAGUUGGCUGCACUGAUGUGUUGGCAGUGACCAGCCACAACCAGCAGGUGGCGUUGAGUGUCACAGAACGGAUGUUGACGUUUGGAAGAUUGUGGCAGUCACUCAAACGUGGACUCGUAAACAUGAGAAAUGCUGCAUUGUGGAGGAAAAAACGGCAACGCUGCAAUUGAGCGCUCUGCGGAUGUCAAGGUUGGAGCUUUACUAUACAAAGUUGCCUGCAUGGCAUAGCUCUUUGUGGGCUUGAUUGAACAGGAGAGCAAACUUUUCAAUAUGAUCCUCAAAUGCUCUCAGUCAAAAUGGCUCGCUGUGCAACUUCAGUGACAUCCGUGGGAAAAUGAUGGUGCCAUCAAAGUUUGAGGACUAAAAGACAAAUCCUGAAGAACAACAACAAAUGCACAGUUGGAGAUGACUACAAUAAAUCCCACUGGGAGUUUAUGAUCUUAUUGUGC
Molecule: long non-coding RNA, 672 nt
Organism: Syngnathus typhle (broad-nosed pipefish)
Lineage: Eukaryota; Metazoa; Chordata; Actinopteri; Syngnathiformes; Syngnathidae
Exons: 6
Source: RefSeq, a predicted model, not a curated record